GAUGCUUAACCAAUUGAGCCAGCGAGGUACCCCAGUCACGACCCUCGUUAAUUGCUCUUUGAUAAAGAUUUUUGUUAAGUUUUGCACGAGUUAAUUUUUAAAACGGGGCUCUAAAUGCUUCCUCAGUGAUAGCUUUUCACAAUACUUUCAGCAAACUUUACUGAGUGUGCAAAAUGGACAGAUUUACAUCCCAAGAAAAAACAAAAAGGGCUCUGAGAAUUUUGAACGCAAAAUAUUUCAAUUGUAACGAGGACUUGUUUUUAUACUAUAAACCUCCAGGAAGAAAAAGAUCAACGUCUUCUAAAAGAAGGUGAGAAUCAGCUGUGUUGAGGCUUCUCCUUUGCUUUCUAAAAAUGGACGAGUCCUUCCAAGGUUUCGAAGGAAGCAGAUCAGAACGUAAGAAUUUUGAAGACUUCUUCGUACCAGGAACGGGCAGACCUUCUUUAGGGUCCAGGGACUUGACUAGACUUAGAACAGAGGUGUAACACAAAUCAACAGUGAGAAAAUGGGAAUGGGAAAUUCUGGUAUUAAAGGACAUGGGGUUCUUUCUUUUUGAAACGUAGACCCCAGAAUCAGAUAUCUGGGCUGUGGAUUCCACUGUGGUGUCUGUGAACUCUCAAUACUUCUUUCUGCUACUCUCUUCUGCUUCUGCAACGUCCCUGACACCAAGAAAUGUAUGUCCCUAUUACUUGUGUCUUUUCCUUAAUCUGGGUUGUAGCAUUUAAUUUAGGAAAAUAGGGAUUAGGAGGCCCAGAGUGGUUAGUGGACUGGCCCAGGUCCCACAACUGUUGAGGGGUGGUGUGGGAUUCCUCCUGGGCUCUCUCAGACACGGCUUCUGCCUGACCGUGGAGGACGCCACCCCAGAGCAGCGUUGGGACAGACCCAGCCCCCUGCACCUGUGUGGCCAUUUUGUCGGGCUACCUGGGUUUUCUGAGGUUCGGGGGCUCAGGAGGCCCCUGCCCCCUCUCCAGCCCUUCCUUCUGGACAAAAGUGUGUCUGCCAGUCGUGACUCGAGGGUCCCAGCUAAGGUUGCACUGCAGAGCAGGGGCUGAGGCUCCCGGGCCACGCCUGGGCCCAGAACCUUUCUGCCAGGCGCUUUCUUUACGGAAGUCCCUGAGAUCCUUGGUCAGAAAACCAAGGGUGAGCAAGCCUUCCUCUUUCAAGAUAGCCCUCUCCGCUGCCCAGAAGGCCAAGACAGAGGGAAAAACUGUAGCAGAAAGGGCCUGACAUGUCACAUUCAUGGUCCUGGCCUUGCUUUUUUUAGAAAAGGAGCUCUUUCCCAUGGUUAGGGGAGAAGUCAGACUUUUUCCGGUUCCUCUUGGGCUGGACAUGAAGCAAUCUUCAGGCCUGAUGUUGACACCAGGUCAACCCCCGCCCCCCCCAGACCUUCUCUCUGGGCCUGGCUGCUUGGACUUCUGGGCUCUGACCUUGGCAGCAAGAAAAUGACCCACUGGCCAGGGGUUCCGUGCCAGCAACAACCGUGCAGGGCCUUAGAAGAGACAGAGCAGAGCGGGACAGCAGCAGAGACCCACAUGGGUUGACGUGGCCCCCAACUCCACGGCACGCUGACCAGGAAGCCCCGGACAAGAGAGAGCCCAGCAAAUCAACAGAGCCUUGCGACUGCCCUGCAUGCUGGAUGUUGCUGAGAAGCAAGUGGAUGGGAAGCCGCGACACGAGGCACCAAGAUGCUGAGAAGCUAUUCUGAGAGGUGACUGCGUUAGUGACUGGCAUAGCCAGAGCUCGAACCCAGCAGUCCAGCCCCAGAGCCCAAGCUCUCAGACGCUGGGCUUCCCAGCCACCUGUGCACCCUGCGGACACACGAGUAUCUGCAUCUCGAUCAUCACGUGAAUAUACUUCUCUUACCAGUAGUCAUGUGAAUAUACACUCAUCGAACAGCAUGUAAAAAUAACAGACAAAGGUCAAAUAAUAACCAACUGCCUGCAAUCCAAAAUGGAGAGACAAUGUGACCCUGCUUUAAAUUAUUUUUAAUAUCUCAUUUCUCCAGCUAAGUCAUGAUGCGGGAUCCAUUGUCUCCUGCGUGAUUGUAGUUCUCCAGAGAGGUGAUGGAGUAUGGGUCAGUGGCACAGAGCUUGCCGAAAUCCUAGCUCUGUUCCUUAUCAGCUCUAUGAUUCUGGGUAAGUCAAACUCUUUCUAGCAACACUGUCAUUGUGCCAACUGUGUGCCCCCAGAUCCCUUUACUGUUUUUUCGUACACACCGGCCGGUAGCCAACACGUAUGCCCUCUGGCUGCAGAAGUUGCCCGAGCCUGCGUGCAUGGAGAACUGGAGCUGAACGUGACCACUGGCCACAGGGGGUAUAUCUUCUGUAGCUGGUCCCCCAAUUAGGACAACACUGAGGUGUGACGACGCUGUUGGAGAGAUUCCCUGGGGUCUGAGCCAGACUCAGCCUGCAGGGGUCCUCUGCUUCAGUGUGCACCCGUGCUGACCUCGGUGUUUCUCGUUGCUAUUUCUUACUACCUGCGGAUGCUUUCUUCCUGGGAACGCUUUCAACCAGACAAACCGAAACCGAUAGACCUGCUACAAAGUGCCUGGCCAAUACUCUUCAAAAAUGUCAAGGUUGAGAAAGACCAAGAAAGAUUUAGAUGACAUUUCCACUUAAAAGAGACUAAAGAGUUGCGAUGAUUAAAUGUAACACAUAAUCCUGGAUGGGAUCUUGAACCAGGAAGAAUAAAUAGCUUAUAAAAGACAGUAUUGGGAUGAUCGACCACAUCUUAAUAUGGGCUGCACGAGUAGUAGCAUGGAAACAAUGCUAAAUUUUGUGUUUUUGAUCACUGCACCAUGAUUGUAUAAAAGAAUGUUCUAGUGCUUAGGACGUACACAGCGACAUAUAUAGCAAUAAAGGUACACGAUGUCUCUAA
Long non-coding RNA from Felis catus (domestic cat), 2877 nucleotides. RefSeq lists it as uncharacterized. The transcript is spliced from 3 exons. Lineage: Eukaryota; Metazoa; Chordata; Mammalia; Carnivora; Felidae. The record is from RefSeq and is a predicted model, not a curated record.